AUCUUCUCUCUAAUUUCGGGUAGCAGUUCCUUUAGUUCCUCAAUUUCUUUCUUGUAUUCAGCAGACGAUCCUUCAGCCUCCUUCACCUGCUCGUUUAGUACAGCUAAAAAGAAUAAAGUGAUUAGUAAUGGCUCAAAAAAGAACUGUUUUCUUCCUUGUUAAUUGCUGGAUCCAACAUCACCAUGAAGCAGCUCGUCUUCACUCACCCAUUCUGUUCUCAAUGACUUCAAUAGAUUUGCUGAACUGUGCCACUGCCUCAUCAUACUGAGAGUUGUACCCAUAAGCCAAGCCCAGCUGGUAGUGGGUCUCUGCAAGGAGACGGUCGUGGGCUUCCAGGUACUGUUCCUGCAGGUUAAGGCAGGACUGGAACUCCUCCACAGCUUGCACAUAGUUUUCUAACAAAGAGAAAAAGAAGAGCAAGUAAAUGGACAGCAUUCAACAUAAAAUACUUCCAGAAUUCAGACCCAUCCUAUGGGAAUGCACCCAUAUUUAACAUUCCAUUUUUGUUUAUAGUUAUUU
This 519-nucleotide long non-coding RNA is filed under the name Homo sapiens (human). Its description in RNAcentral is "HSALNT0291928". The record is from RNAcentral. Lineage: Eukaryota; Metazoa; Chordata; Mammalia; Primates; Hominidae.